RNA transcript from Onychostoma macrolepis, 4304 nucleotides. It is a transcript of the gene named GTPase IMAP family member 8-like, with no coding region annotated. The transcript has 15 exons. The record is from RefSeq and is a predicted model, not a curated record. Lineage: Eukaryota; Metazoa; Chordata; Actinopteri; Cypriniformes; Cyprinidae.
UUUUGAUACAGGCUUCGAAGCCUCGGUGUCGAACGUCACAUCACUACAAAACAACAACAACAAAACAGCAGCUUAAAUCCUUUAAAUCAGUGUUCAUAUUUUAUUUGCUGAGGAUCCUCUCUAGAACUAUUUGAAAGAGAUGACACAGAUCAACUUCAAUCAAGAUCAACUUCAUUAUAAAGUGAUCCGGAUUCUUCUGAUGGGCAGAAAUGUUUCUGGGAAAAGCUUAUCUGGAAACACCAUUCUGGGAGAAAACUUGUUUAAAGAGCAUAAAGCUGAAGUGUGUGAUGGUCAAACUCAGAUCAGUGGGAAGCAGGUUGCUGUGAUUGAUUGUCCAGAUCUACUGGAUCCAGAUCUGUAUGAAGAGCAGCUGGAGAUGAUGAAAGAGCAGCUGGUCUCUCGAUGUUCAGCAGGACUCAGUGCAGUUCUGCUCACCGUUCCUCUAGAGAAACCACUUGAAAAUGAGGAAGAGAUCCUGGAUUAUAUUCAGUGUUUAUUUGGUCCUGAGGUUCAGAAAUACAUCAUGAUUCUGUUCACACACAAAGAUGAUCUGGAUGAAACAAUUGAUGAACAUCUGAAACACCAAGAUCAUGAGGAUCUCCAGUGCCUGGUGUCUGAAUGUGGAGGAAAGAUUCACUGUUUCAAUAACAAUAAGACCGUGAAAGGUCAAGUCCAAGAACUACUACAGAAGAUUGACACAAUGAUGAUGGAGAACGGUAGGAUGUUUAUCAUGGAACAAAUGAGGAGGAGACACAGCAUGGUCAGCAUUGUUAAUUUUUCAAGAGAGACUCCAGCUGAAAAUGAGAUUGAUAUGAAGAAAGACCAAAAAACUGGAUCUGGGCAGAUUGGCACAAUUAUAUUUACAUUUGCAAUGAUCACCAUCAUCUACAGAAACGACAUAUGCUUGGAUAAAAAUAUGCAUCAGAAGAAACAGGAGUGUGAGUGGUUACCUCAAUCAGAAGAGCAGAAAAUAUACCUGUGUUCAGAUGAAAUACUGACUCAGACACACAGCGGUCAGUCUUUGGGGCUUUUUGUCCUAAUUGCCCUCGUGAUCAUGUGUUUCAUAACACGUAAAAAGAUCCUCAGAAAUACAUCAUGAUUCACUUCACAUGUGGAGACGAACUGGAUCAAAGCAUUGAUGAACAUCUGAAGCAGAAAGAUCGUGAGGAUCUGCAGUAUUUAAAUGUGACUGGAUGUGGAGGAAAGAUGCACUGCUUCAAUAAUAAAGAGUAAAUCAGAAGAUCAGAUACGAGAUGAUCAACUGCUGCAGAAGAUUGAAGGAAUGAUGAUGGAGAACUCCAGCUGAGAGUCUCCAGAAGCAGAUCCAGAUGAGAUUCAUGAGAGGAAAACUGGAGAAAGUGCAACAUGGAAAAACCAUCAUCAGCAGAAAGAUCUGACGCUCAGUGAUUGGUUCUGCUGGGAAAACUGAUAAGAUCAAUAAGUAAUGAUGUGUUUUUGCAUAUUACUCAUCAAAAUAGUCAUUUUCAACUAUUUUAUAAGCGUGUUGGGAAAAACUGGAUCUGUAAAAAUGACUAAAUCUGAGAUCAGACGUCUCUUCUGAAAGCCAGUGAUGCAACUGCAGCAGAGAGGAACAUUUUCAGUCAUUAAUAUCUGAAUGAAAUCACCUCAGAAGCUUGAACCCCAACUCGACUUCAGUCAGAUGCCGUGAAGAUGGAGACGAGAGCUGAAACACGUCCUAGUCAGAGAAUGUUUACGCAGAUUAAUCAUAAAGAAACCUGUCUGUUCAGUCAUUUUUGCAUCUUCAUUUGCUUAGAAUUAAACCUGAGUUAAACCUGUAGUUAAACUUCAUGUUCACUUCAUUCACUAAUCAACCAAUGUGAUUUGAUUUGAUUUGAUGCUGGUUUGUGCUUUAAAUGACUAGAAACUCUUUUGUAGAAUGAGGGAUUUUAUAUUUGUAUCUUAUUUUAGCCUUUCCCCCUCAUCUCCUUGUGCUUUGGAGCUUCAUGUGAUGUAGACAGCAGUUCCUCCGGUGGAUUCAGUGUGAUUGUGAUUAAUGUACGUUCAUAUGAAGGAGGGCUCCGCGUUCCAGACAAAUAGAAAAUAAUUUUAGUUGCAUCGGUUUCUAUUCUAGUUCUGUUUGUGUAUAGAUUAAUAUUUCAACAAUUUAGUGGCAAUGGCAUUUAUUUUUAUUUUUUUUAUAAAUGUAAUGUUUUGAUUGUAUUUGUUUUUCUAGGAGGUGUUUUCCUGUGCUUGGGAUUUACUGAGAUUGAUUUUAUGUUGUUGGCUUGUUUUCUGGAAACCAGGUAGGAUUUUGGAGAAAUGUAGCGCUAUAUUGUGAUUCUGCUGAAGUCAGAUGCAGUGAAGAUGAGAGAACAUCUGUUUACACUCUUUAAUCAUGAAGAAACCAGUGCAUUGACUCGGCUUUAGUUUGGACAUGUAUUCUUGAUUCUGGACUUUCAUUAAAUAAAGGAAUGCAUCCCAGAUAAGUAGUAGCUGUUGAAGUGGUUUGUUGUUCUGGGGAACUGAGCCAAACGAGGGUCAACAGCAGCUGAAAGCACCCAGACGAUGAUCAUGAUCUGACCUGAGAGCAUCAACCCCUAAUUGACAUGAGGAAAAAAUCAUUGAAAAGUGUACAGUGUACCCCUCUUUGCAACAGAGGAAGCAUUAGGAAAGAGGAGAAGAGAGAAAGUGAAAAGGCACUCAACAGAUGUUGAGUUUGGGUUCCUUGCCGCUGUCGACUUUCGGCGUGCUUAUUUGGGGACUAAUAAUAUUCAGCAAUAUUAUUGAUCUGACUCCACCGGCACUAUUGAUGAGGACUGAACUGAGCUAGAUGAUGACACCACUGCUAUCUAGAUGCAUUGAAAUUAUUUUAUAUUUGAUGAUUUUUAUACAGUUAAUCGAAAUUAACUGAGUCAACACUGAUUUCAACUGAACAAUGACAUGUUUUACUGUUUAGAGCUGCUUCACAGCAGAUGUGAAUUCUGUUUGCAUCAUUAUUUUUCUUUUUAUCACUGUAAAUCAGCUUUGAAACAAUCUGUAUUGUAUAAAGCGCUAUAUAAAUAAUGGUGACUUGACUUAAAUUGGUUCAAAUCUUCAAAAAAAAUGUGCAUGAAACAGGCAACCUGAAUAAACACAAAAUACAGUUUAUUAAUGGUAACUGUAUUUGCCUUUGUUUUAUGUUAAUUGUCUUAGGAAUAUAUGACGAUAUUUAGUGCUGGAUAUAUACGCAAAAAUAGAAUAAAUCAGGAUUUGUUUUCACAGCACCGUACACCAGCAUUUAUGUGCAGUAGUGUGACAUUAAUGUGUGGAAAUGGACAUUUUAUCAGUGUGUGAUUGCUAUUUUCAGGAAAAUGCACUGGUAACAACUAAAAAAAGACGAAAAUAUAAUUCAACAGAGUAUGAUGGCUGUGGUGAAAUAAGCACUCAAAUAAUGAAACUAAGACCUGUGGGAGUGCUGGAGAAAUCAAGUGUAUAAGUCCUCUGUCUCCUCAGCCAUGGAAGAGAUCUUCAGACAUGAAGAGAUUGAGGAGUUAAAUGAAGUCAAAGAGCUAAAAGAAGAUUUACAAUAUUAGUGUAAUUUCAGUAUGAAAACAGAGAGAGAGCUGAGGCAGUGGAAAGAAAUGCAUGUUAUUGUGCAAGGGGUAGUUGCAUGGACUAUCAGUGGAGGAACAGAAAGCUCUGAGAUUUCAUUAUAAAGAUCUUCAUUUGUGUUCUGAAGAUGAAUGAAGGACUUGCGGGUUUGGAACGAUAUGAGGACUACAUCCAAAAUAGUGUUUCCACAUCUGAGAUGAAGGCAGUCAUAAGAACCAAGCAGAACGAUGAGGAUAAGAUCUUCAAAAAAUGAAACCUGUCUGAAUAAUGAGGGAAGAAAUGUGCAUGAUUGUGUGAUGUGUAAAUAAACACUAAAUACUUUUAGUGUAACUCCCAGCCUGUUAUUUUAAGUUUAAAGAAAAGUAAAAUCAUUUAUUGUUGCAUUGCUGUUUGAGACAUUCACUGUUGUUUUGUACCUUAAUUUAUUAUAUUGCAGUUGUGUAAAAUAAAACUGGUUAUUCUGAAUAUUCUGGUUGCAUUUCAGUGUUACUGUACAGCAUUUUAUUAGUAUUGCACUUUGGUAGUACUGAAUUGUACUUCAGUUGUAUUAUUGCAGUACUACUGCAGAUUUAUUGCAGUAUAAUUGUAGUAAUACUUCAGCUGUAUUGCAGUAAUACUGCGGUUCUAUUGCAGUUGUUUGUUAGUAAUACUACAGCUCUACUGCAGUUGUAUUUCAAUAGUACUUCAGAUGUAUUGCAGUAAAAUGGCAAUAAUGCAGUUUUUUCGUGUCCAAAAAACUGCAUUUUUCUACA